ACCGGCGCACGGGUGAGUAACGCGUAUCCAACCUGCCCACCACUUGGGGAUAACCUUGCGAAAGUAAGACUAAUACCCAAUGAUAUCCCACGAAGGCAUCCGAAUGGGAUUAAAGAUUUAUCGGUGAUGGAUGGGGAUGCGUCUGAUUAGCUUGUUGGCGGGGUAACGGCCCACCAAGGCAACGAUCAGUAGGGGUUCUGAGAGGAAGGUCCCCCACAUUGGAACUGAGACACGGUCCAAACUCCUACGGGAGGCAGCAGUGAGGAAUAUUGGUCAAUGGGCGAGAGCCUGAACCAGCCAAGUAGCGUGCAGGAUGACGGCCCUAUGGGUUGUAAACUGCUUUUAUAAGGGAAUAAAGUGGGUCACGUGUGACUUUUUGCAUGUACCUUAUGAAUAAGGACCGGCUAAUUCCGUG
Molecule: ribosomal RNA, 415 nt
Filed under: uncultured bacterium
Lineage: Bacteria
Description: bacterial SSU rRNA
Rfam family: Bacterial small subunit ribosomal RNA
Source: RNAcentral